Molecule: long non-coding RNA, 363 nt
Filed under: Musa acuminata (dwarf banana)
Lineage: Eukaryota; Viridiplantae; Streptophyta; Magnoliopsida; Zingiberales; Musaceae
Description: long non-coding RNA (MACU_LNC008254)
Source: RNAcentral
UGAAUCUUUUCUGCAGCCUUUGAGCAGCAACUUGGUGGGAGGAACCCCUAUAGAGUUCCAAGGAGGCCGAUCCCCUAAAGAGAUCAACCCCAAGUUUAGAAUCUGCAAGGGUUCUAACACCUGGUAUCAGAGCAGCGUUCUUGGCAUCUCGCUGCCCUUCCACUGCCAUCCAUCAACCCUCCACAACCGCCCAAAGCAAUUCCCACAAUUGCUUAAAAGAUCGUCGCCAAAUUCCACCGUCAUCUCCACCACCGCAGAUUAUCCUUUGAUCUUCCUGUGAAUUGCAACAGGUUUUGGUUUCCUACCUUACUGCUGCUGCAAUUUAGUUAUCCCUAUUCGAAAAUCCAAAAAAAAAAAAAAAAA